GAUCCUGGCUCAGGACGAACGCUGGCGGCGUGCUUAACACAUGCAAGUCGAACGGAAAGGCUCCAGCUUGCUGGAGUACUCGAGUGGCGAACGGGUGAGUAACACGUGGGUAAUCUGCCCUGCACUCUGGGAUAAGCCUGGGAAACUGGGUCUAAUACUGGAUAUGACCUUUCUCCUUAUGGGGUUUGGUGGAAAGUUUUUCGGUGUAGGAUGAGCCCGCGGCCUAUCAGCUUGUUGGUGGGGUGAUGG
Molecule: ribosomal RNA, 249 nt
Filed under: uncultured bacterium
Lineage: Bacteria
Description: partial 16S ribosomal RNA
Rfam family: Bacterial small subunit ribosomal RNA
Source: RNAcentral